RNAcentral lists this ribosomal RNA (452 nucleotides) under uncultured bacterium. RNAcentral describes it as "bacterial SSU rRNA". It matches the Rfam family "Bacterial small subunit ribosomal RNA", at positions 354 to 796 of the family's 1533-position model. The record is from RNAcentral.
GUCGAGGAUCUUUUGCAAUGGGCGCAAGCCUGACAAAGCGACGCUGCGUGGAGGAUGACGGCCUUCGGGUUGUAAACUCCUGUCAUUCGGGAAAAAUGAUACAUCUCUGAACAGGGGAUGUGUCCUGAUGGUACCGGAAGAGGAAGCCACGGCUAACUCUGUGCCAGCAGCCGCGGUAAUACAGAGGUGGCGAGCGUUGUUCGGAUUUACUGGGCGUAAAGGGCGCGUAGGCGGCUUCGCGUGUCGGGUGUGAAAUCCCACGGCUCAACUGUGGAAUGGCAUCCGAAACUGUGGGGCUAGAGUGCAGGAAGGGAGAGCGGAAUUCUUGGUGUAGCGGUGAAAUGCGUUGAUAUCAAGAAGAACACCGGUGGCGAAGGCGGCUCUCUGGAAUGCAACUGACGCUGAGGCACGAAAGCCGGGGGAGCAAACAGGAUUAGAUACCCGAGUAGUCC